UCUUAGGUGAUUCUCAUUAGCUCGUGGAACCUGGGGUACCCUGGGCUCCUGGACACUGCCCUGAGCCGGAGGAAGACUUGUGCUCACCUUGGAGACGGGAUGAGAAGCAGGAUCAAGAUGAAAGGCAGAUUGCCUGCUGCCUGGACAUGGAAAUUGCUCACAAUUUAGCCAUCCUCUGUGCUGUGUGCUCGGGAGCACCCAGCCCACUCACAAGUGACAGCCGAGGAAAGAGUUUUAAACAAGCAUUUGCUGGAAUGUUGACUUGCUGCGGAAGGAGAGGAAUCCUUGCAUCUUGUCGAAUGAUUAUGGCACCUGUAAAACGGUAUGAGACACAUCUGCUUAUGGUACAGCUGAAAUGUCCCACUGGAGGCUUUCUGUUGACCACUCCAUAAAUGGGUCUUUGUAAAGGUGGGAACCAAGUCUGUGCCAGGUUCUGCUCUGCAGAGAAUGCCAUCAUGAACUUCAGCCAGUGUUCACAGCACCCUAGGACUAAUCAACUAAUUAAAGUAAGCCAGACGUCCUUCUUCAAGCUCAGUAUGAAAUUCACACAACCAUCAAGACAACAGCAAAUGAACUAUAGACUCCGGCUUUCAGGCAGGCUAUUUAAGCACCAUAAAGAGCACCAAGCCAAAUCGUGGAUGAAAGAUUAGUUUGGCCUUCGAAAACAGCUACAAUUCAAUCAAAAUAUCUGAGAGAAAGGGUGGCCUCAGCAAAUCGUGUCUCAGAGCUGGGUAGCCUCAUGGCUAUGAAUGUUCUUGGCUUGAAUACUGAUAACCUUGACAGAGUGAUGCUGAUUGGAGCCUUGUGUACCUUGAAAACAGAGAAUUAGCUGCACUUGAAGUCCAGUCUUGGAAUGAGCAUGGCACCUGUCAUCAUGAAGACUCAGCUCCCCUUGAGCAGUGGAAAUAAAUGCAGCUGGUAUCCUCACACACAUCACAGACCUCAGGUCCAUCUGCCUUUGAAUGUGGAUGCACAUCGGCAGAGCGCCAGGGAUCAGGCUUUCGGCCUUGGAUGGACAACAGCAGUGGUCCCUCCUUAUUCUGAGGCUUCCAUCUUCUUGGACUUCUCUGCAUCUCUAGUUUCUGCAGUUAGGUAUUGUGGGACCACCAAGCCUCCAACUGUAUAAAACAAUCCAAUGAAAUCCAAUUACAUGUACACACAGAGAGACAUACAGACACACAGACAUAGUGACACACAGUCACACUCACACACACACACACACACAGCAUCUUUGUAAAAAGAAGUGACAAAGACAAGAGGAUCUCUAAGGCCCAUUGGCAGCCUUCCUAGCUGAAUUACUGAGCCCAAGCCAGUGAGGGGCCAUGUCUCAAUAAACAAGCUAGACAGUGUCAGAGGAAUGACCCUGAGGUUAUUCUCUGGUCUCCAUCUGCAUAGGCACACAUGUUUACCCUCGCACAUAUGAACAUGCACACACAGCAAAGGAGGAGGGGUGAGAGCCCGGCCUGAUAUCUUACAAGUCCAUUUGCUGACCAGUGGAGUUGCCCACGGGUCAGAGCAUGUCUUCUAUUUUACUCAGAGCCCGUGUGGUUUAAGACUUUUCAGGUGGGGCUCCCUUCACAGCAGCACCUCACUAAAAAGUACUCUGAGCAGAACAGAAGUCAUCCAUGGCCUCAUCCUCCAACACAUGUCUGAGUUCUUGCACCCAUCAACACAUGUUGGCCAAAGGAAACAAGUCUUUACCUAACAGAUAAAGUGAGCCCUUUCCCUGGCAAGCUAGUUAGCCUUUGCAUCUAUCUGUAUCAGGCAGAAACCAGGUCCUUGUUAGCUGGUUUCACAGUGACAGUGGUGUUUGUUUCUUCCCCGACACUCCUAGUUCAAGGUGAAGAUGAUUAAUGUGUUGCCGAAGGAAUUGUACAGUAAGCUUUUCCGAUCACUGUCCCUGGAGCUACCGUGUAACUGCUCAUAGUCACAGCCAAGGCUAUUGACGAAUAGUUUCAUGACUCAUUUGGGCCGAUCCGUGAGGCCAAUUACUUCAUAAGGUGGCAUUCCAUCACAGUCCUCUUCGAUCUCGGAGUCUGGCUCAUCGAUUCGACUUUGCCGAGGAAAGCAAGAGCAGCAGUCAGAUCCGAAACCCUGAUGGUUGCAUCUGGAUUCCCCGCCUUGGUGCUUCCUGCAGCCUGCUCAUGUUUCCUUGGCCCUUUUAAUUACCCUGCCUUGAGACAGGGGGCAGCCACCUGAUGUGGAACGGGACACCAGGCAGAGUCUAUGGUCUUCCGCUCCUGAUGGGGCUCCCUUUUCCCAUAGCAGAGAU
Long non-coding RNA from Mus musculus (house mouse), 2272 nucleotides. RefSeq annotates it as predicted gene, 54096. The record is from RefSeq and is a predicted model, not a curated record. The transcript is spliced from 3 exons. Lineage: Eukaryota; Metazoa; Chordata; Mammalia; Rodentia; Muridae.